AGCGACUGUGCAGGUUACCGCGGCUGCUGGCACGGAGUUAGCCGGUGCUUCUUCUGCGAGUAACGUCACAGCUAGCAGGUAUUAACUACUAACCUUUCCUCCUCGCUGAAAGUGCUUUACAACCCGAAGGCCUUCUUCACACACGCGGCAUGGCUGCAUCAGGGUUUCCCCCAUUGUGCAAUAUUCCCCACUGCUGCCUCCCGUAGGAGUCUGGGCCGUGUCUCAGUCCCAGUGUGGCUGAUCAUCCUCUCAGACCAGCUAGGGAUCGUUGCCUAGGUGAGCCAUUACCUCACCUACUAGCUAAUCCCACCUGGGCUUAUCCAUCAGCGCAAGGACCGAAGUUCCCCUGCUUUCCCCCGUAGGGCGUAUGCGGUAUUAGCAGUCGUUUCCAACUGUUAUCCCCCACAAAUGGGCAAAUUCCCAGGCAUUACUCACCCGUCCGCCGCUCGUCAUCUUCAAAAGCAAGCUUUUGAAAUGUUACCGCUCGACUUGCAUGUGUUAGGCCUGCCGCCAGCGUUC
RNAcentral lists this ribosomal RNA (519 nucleotides) under uncultured bacterium. RNAcentral describes it as "partial 16S ribosomal RNA". The record is from RNAcentral.